This 677-nucleotide long non-coding RNA is filed under the name Ananas comosus (pineapple). RNAcentral describes it as "long non-coding RNA (ACOM_LNC018895)". The record is from RNAcentral. Lineage: Eukaryota; Viridiplantae; Streptophyta; Magnoliopsida; Poales; Bromeliaceae.
UUAAAACUUUGCUCUUCACCUCGGCCUGGUUGUUUUACCGAAACUAUAUUUUGGAUUGAUGUGGAGUUUAGUGAAAAUUAUUUCUUUCAUGCUGUUUAUUUUUAUAGUUAGAAAAUGUGAGAUUUUUUUCAAUUCUGUUAUUUAUUUGGCAGAAAAUAUAUGAUGUAAAACUAUAAUUUAUAUAUAAAUAAUAAAUAAUCUAAUAAAUUAUAAAUUAUAAUAUAAAAAAUAAAAAUAAUAUAAUUAUGUUCCUACAUAAUUUUAAAAAAUUAAUCUAAAAUAACUAAAUUAUUUUUUUAUACAUAAGUCAUAAUAUUACAACAAUAAAAUUAUAAAGUAAGAAAAAAAUAAUAAUACUAACUAAUUAAUUUUUAUCAUAUUUUAAAUAUAUGAAACCAAAUGAAAAAAAUACUAGAACUUAACUAAUCAAUUUUUAUUAUAUUUUAAAUAUACAAACUAAAUAAAAGAGUAGUUAAUACUAUAAUUAAAUAUAUUUAAAUAUAACUAACGUUACACAUUAUAUUAUUUUAUUAUUUUUUUCUUCAUCUCUUUUUUGUUCUGAAUAACUCGAAUUUCAACCGUAUCUUUAUUACGAUAAAUCAAAUGACGAAAAUGAUCGUUUAAGAUCGAAAAUUAUUUUUUCUCUCUCCACCUUUACUCAAAUAAAUAGGUUGCAC